Molecule: non-coding RNA, 486 nt
Organism: Artibeus jamaicensis (Jamaican fruit-eating bat)
Lineage: Eukaryota; Metazoa; Chordata; Mammalia; Chiroptera; Phyllostomidae
Source: the annotation of a RefSeq genome assembly
AGCACAUUCUCCUCUUAAUGGGUCUGGGAGGCAAGAAAAGGUCCCAGGGACACCUCCUUCCACCCCAGGAGUCUGAGGAGGCCGUGUCCUGUGAGUGUCCCCACCAUGGCCUGGACGGUGCUCCUGCUGGGACUCCUCACUUACAGCUCAGGUGUGGAUUCUCAGACUGUCGUCACCCAGGAGCCAUCACUGUCUGUGUCUCCAGGAGGGACAGUCACACUCACCUGUGGCCUUAGCUCUGGCUCAGUGUCUAGUAGUAACUACCCCAACUGGUACCAGCAGACCCCAGGCCAGGCUCCCCGCACGCUCAUCUAUAGCACAAACAGCCGACCCUCUGGGGUCCCUGAGCGCUUCACUGGAUCCAUCUCUGGGAACAAAGCCGCCCUCACCAUCACGGGGGCCCAGCCUGAGGACGAGGCCAUUUAUUACUGUGCUCUGUACACGGGUAGUUAUCCUUACACAGUGAUGUGACCUCAUGGGGAAGUG